CGCGGCGCAGAAGCCAUGAUGGGAAGGGAAAACGAGUUAGGCAAAAACGAAGAACUCAAAAGAAGAUAUUUUGAAGAACGUUGGUAACCAAACAACAACCUCCAUGCUGACUUCCAUUGUAUGGACACAAGACUGCAGAGAGAAGAGGAGUGCUCGGUGGUGCUGAUAAUGGAUGCUGAGGGACCUUGAGUGACACCAAAGGGGGAAACUGCUGGAGACCGUGAAGCAAGUGGAGACAGUGAAGGGGAGAAACUAG
Long non-coding RNA from Triplophysa rosa, 256 nucleotides. RefSeq lists it as uncharacterized. The transcript has 3 exons. The record is from RefSeq and is a predicted model, not a curated record. NCBI's taxonomy places the organism in Eukaryota, Metazoa, Chordata, Actinopteri, Cypriniformes, Nemacheilidae.